This 1494-nucleotide long non-coding RNA is filed under the name Volvox carteri. RNAcentral's name for it is "long non-coding RNA (VCAR_LNC000711)". The record is from RNAcentral. Lineage: Eukaryota; Viridiplantae; Chlorophyta; Chlorophyceae; Chlamydomonadales; Volvocaceae.
CUGGGUUGACCAGGUGUGCGUGGUGCAGGUGGCGAGCCAGCGCCUCCAUACAGGCGUAUGUUCCUCUGCCCCUGCAUUCUGGCAUCCUGUUGUUGUUGGCCAGUGGUGGUGCUGUGUGGCUGUAAUGUGUCAGAAGUAGGCUGGGCAGGGAGGGUGUGCGCAUGGGAUGUGCCUGGCAUGCGCCUUGAUGGGCCAGCAGCCUUGUACAGGCUGUGCACCCCAUCUGGUAGUGCUGGGUUGACCAGGUGUGCGUGGUGCAGGUGGCGAGCCAGCGCCUCCAUACAGGCGUAUGUUCCUCUGCCCCUGCAUUCUGGCAUCCUGUUGUUGUUGGAGUGGUGGUGCUGUGUGGCUGUAAUGUGUCAGAAGUAGGCUGGGCAGGGAGGGUGUGCGCAUGGGAUGUGUCUGGCAUGCGCCUUGAUGGGCCAGCAGCCUUGUACAGGCUGUGCACCCUAUCUGUUAGUGCUGGGUUGACCAGGUGUGCGUGGUGCAGGUGGCGAGCCAGCGCCUCCAUACAGGCGUAUGUUCCUCUGCCCCUGCAUUCUGGCAUCCUGUUGUUGCUGGAGGGGUUGCGCUGUGUGGCUGUAAUGUGUCAGAAGUAGGCUGGGCAGGGAGGGUGUGCGCAUGGGAUGUGCCUGGCAUGCGCCUUGAUGGGCCAGCAGCCUUGUACAGGCUGUGCACCCUAUCUGUUAGUGCUGGGUUGACCAGGUGUGCGUGGUGCAGGUGGCGAGCCAGCGCCUCCAUACAGGCGUAUGUUCCUCUGCCCCUGCAUUCUGGCAUCCUGUUGUUGUUGGAGUGGUGGUGCUGUGUGGCUGUAAUGUGCGAGGAAAGUGACAUGAGCAUGUGCAGCAAGUGAGAUCUGUCCUGUCAUGUUUGCAGGUAUGCAGACAUUCGUUGGCAUGAUGUUGAGAGUGUCCAACCAGGCGUAUGCUUUGUGGCCGCCACCCAGCUGGCUGAAGCCAUCUACAACAUGACUGCAAAGAUCUUUACUUGCUUGGCAGUUUGGAGCCUGGUGGGCUGGAAGGCAGUUAGGAUGGGAGCCUGGGUGACUCAGAGCCUGGAAGAUUGAGGGCCUGGUAGGCUGUUUGGCUGGGAUCCAAGGUGCCAAGGAGCUUGUGAGGUUGGGAGCAUGGGACACUGGGAGGCUAGGAGAUAGGGAGACUGGGGGACUGGCAGACUGGGGGACUUGCAUUCCAUGUUCAGGAGAGGUGAAAUUGCUGGCAGAGAUGCUUGUGAAUGUAAGAAACCCUAAGACAGCACCCAGCACCAAAGAAAAAGAAAAUUAGCCAUGCAGCCAAGCCACAACUGUCUGUAAGACAACACCCACCACUAAAUAGAAGAACACUUAUCAUGCAGUCAAGCUACACCUGUUUGCAAGGCAACACACACCACCAAAGAGGACACUUACUAUACAGUCACAACGAAACAAAGCAUUACACGACCCAUACAUGAGUGACAGACUGGAAACUAGUGAACUGAGACUGCCUAAUCCUUCUG